Long non-coding RNA from Rhinopithecus bieti (black snub-nosed monkey), 802 nucleotides. The record is from Ensembl. NCBI's taxonomy places the organism in Eukaryota, Metazoa, Chordata, Mammalia, Primates, Cercopithecidae.
AGGAGGCCUAAGGAGGUCACGAUUCUGGGCUGCACUGGCUUCAUGAGCAGGGAGGUCAAGCAGCCUGGAAAGGUGUGGGAUUCACUCCAGGGGUCUGGCCAAGUGGUUCCAAGCCAGGCAGUUCGUUUUCUCUAACCCAGUCUCUCCAGUUUAGUUGUGUCUGUGAUCCUUCAGCCCCAUCUCCCCUCCCUGGGGACGAAGGGGAAAAGAGUUGAGGAGGCAUUGCCCACGCCCCUGGUACCUGCCGUGGAGGGAGCGAAGCAGGCCUUGUGCGGUCUUCCCGCGCCCCUCCUCUCCAUUUAACCUUGGAACCGCCCUGCUCAGGAGCCCACUCCCCUGGAGGGCCGAGGGCUUCUUAGGCCAGAACGUCAGGAGGCUGGGGAAAUGGGAAUCGUCUCCUUCCAAUCACAGCAAAGAUAAUUUACUUGCGUAGGACCCUAGGCAUCUCCUAUGGGAAGAGAAGUGAAGACACACGCCCGAGCCAGGCUGCCUCUCCCGCUCUGCAGAAGGGGUGGUGCUCUCCGUGACCUCUCCCAAUCUCCCCUCCCCGGAAUGGCCUGCACGAGAUGUCUGCACCUUUCACUCAUUUAUGAUGCCGGUAAAAAGAAAACCAGAGCUGGCCGUUCUCAAAUCCUUUACAACUGCUCCUCCCGGGUUCUCUGUGUUUGCAGAUGUAAAUGCUAAAGGUCAGUAGGGUUUAAAGCACCUUUUUACCUCCAGCCACUUCCUGGCCCCUUAGAGGCCCAAGCUGGUUCUGAAAAAAGUGUCCAGCAGGGAAAAGCCUGCACCAACCUACCCACCA